This is a long non-coding RNA of Mytilus californianus (California mussel), 1731 nucleotides long. RefSeq lists it as uncharacterized. The transcript is spliced from 6 exons. The record is from RefSeq and is a predicted model, not a curated record. Lineage: Eukaryota; Metazoa; Mollusca; Bivalvia; Mytilida; Mytilidae.
CUGGGAGCAUGUGUAUUAAAAAAUAAAGGAAAUAGAUCUUCACCCUUAUAAAACAUACUUUAAAAAAUAAAGGUCUAAUAUAACAAAUCUUAUAACCAAUUUCUAUUAACUCAAAUUUAGAGAAACUCAAACCUCUAUAUCACACAGGUUUUCAGCAGUAUCAUAUUUUUUUCUACAGUUCUCCACAUUUUUUUUUUUUAAAUAUACUGCCGUGCCAACAAAAGAUGUGUGAUAUAAAGGCUAGAGUUUUUUGUGGAAAUUCUAAUAUUUUGAUAUUUCAGCAUAAUUUUUUUUUUACUUUUUUCAUUUUUCUUAUACUGCCGCGCCAACAAAAGAUGUGAAAUAUAAAGGCUAGAUUCAUGGGAAAUUCUAAAAUUUCAUAUUUUAUCAAAAUGUUUACCUUAAUUGCAAUGGCUGUUUAAAAAGAAUCUACUGAAUAAUUAGGGUUUUUAAAAGAUAAAGUUGAAAGUCAAUUUUUCCCAUGAUUCAUAAACUAAAAUUCAGCAUGUAUACGUAGUUAAACUGCAAUAAGUCAUCUGCCGAUUUCAUUUCUGGGAGCAUGUGUAUUAAAAAAAUAAAGGAAAUAGAUCUUCACCCUUAUAAAACAUACUUUAAAAAAUAAAGGUCUAAUAUAACAAAUCUCAUAACCAAUUUCUUUUAACUCAAAUUUAGAGAAACUCAAACCUCUAUAUCAGACAGGUUUUCAGCAGUAUCAGGUCUAAUAUAACAAAUCUCAUAACCAAUUUCUUUUAACUCAAAUUUAGAGAAACUCAAACCUCUAUAUCAGACAGGUUUUCAGCAGUAUCAGGUCUAAUAUAACAAAUCUCAUAACCAAUUUCUUUUAACUCAAAUUUAGAGAAACUCAAACCUCUAUAUCAGACAGGUUUUCAGCAGUAUCAGGUCUAAUAUAACAAAUCUCAUAACCAAUUUCUUUUAACUCAAAUUUAGAGAAACUCAAACCUCUAUAUCAGACAGGUUUUCAGCAGUAUCAGGUCUAAUAUAACAAAUCUCAUAACCAAUUUCUUUUAACUCAAAUUUAGAGAAACUCAAACCUCUAUAUCACACAGGUUUUCAGCAGUAUCAUAUUUUUUUCUACAGUUCUCCACAUUUUUUUUUUACUUUUUUCUUUUUUUUUUAAAUAUACUGCCGCGCCAACAAAAGAUGUGUGAUAUAAAGGCUAGAGUUUUUUGUGGAAAUUCUAAUAUUUUGAUAUUUCAGCAUAAUUUUUUUUUUACUUUUUUCAUUUUUCUUAAAUAUACUGCCGCGCCAACAAAAGAUGUGAAAUAUAAAGGCUAGAUUCAUGGGAAAUUCUAAAAUUUCAUAUUUUAUCAAAAUGUUUACCUUAAUUGCAAUGGCUGUUUAAAAAGAAUCUACUGAAUAAUUAGGGUUUUUAAAAGAUAAAGUUGAAAGUCAAUUUUUCCCAUGAUUCAUAAACUAAAAUUCAGCAUGUAUACGUAGUUAAACUGCAAUAAGUCAUCUGCCGAUUUCAUUUCUGGGAGCAUGUGUAUAAAAAAAAUAAAGGAAAUAGAUCUUCACCCUUAUAAAACAUACUUUAAAAAAUAAAGGUCUAAUAUAACAAAUCUCAUAACCAAUUUCUUUUAACUCAAAUUUAGAGAAACUCAAACCUCUAUAUCAGACAGGUUUUCAGCAGUAUCAGGUCUAAUAUAACAAAUCUCAUAACCAAUUUCUUUUAACUCAAAUUUAGAGAAACUCAAACCUCUAUAUCACACA